RNAcentral lists this ribosomal RNA (483 nucleotides) under uncultured bacterium. Its description in RNAcentral is "partial 16S ribosomal RNA". It matches the Rfam family "Bacterial small subunit ribosomal RNA", at positions 30 to 507 of the family's 1533-position model. The record is from RNAcentral.
AUUGAACGCUGGCGGCAGGCCUAACACAUGCAAGUCGAGCGGAUGAAGGGAGCUUGCUCCUGGAUUCAGCGGCGGACGGGUGAGUAAUGCCUAGGAAUCUGCCUGGUAGUGGGGGAUAACGUCCGGAAACGGGCGCUAAUACCGCAUACGUCCUGAGGGAGAAAGUGGGGAUCUUCGGACCUCACGCUAUCAGAUGAGCCUAGGUCGGAUUAGCUAGUUGGUGGGGUAAAGGCCUACCAAGGCGACGAUCCGUAACUGGUCUGAGAGGAUGAUCAGUCACACUGGAACUGAGACACGGUCCAGGCUCCUACGGGAGGCAGCAGUGGGGAAUAUUGGACAAUGGGCGAAAGCCUGAUCCAGCCAUGCCGCGUGUGUGAAGAAGGUCUUCGGAUUGUAAAGCACUUUAAGUUGGGAGGAAGGGCAGUAAGUUAAUACCUUGCUGUUUUGACGUUACCAACAGAAUAAGCACCGGCUAACUUCGUG